RNAcentral lists this non-coding RNA (24 nucleotides) under Arabidopsis thaliana (thale cress). Lineage: Eukaryota; Viridiplantae; Streptophyta; Magnoliopsida; Brassicales; Brassicaceae. The record is from RNAcentral.
UAUGUGACUUAUAACUAUGAGCCA